CCACAGCCUUCUGUAGCGGUAGGUCGAGUACUCACGUUAGGCAGGCUUGUUAGCAGUUAUGGGACCCAAAGUGCCGGCAGUAGGAAUUGACCUGGGGACGACGUACUCGUGCGUCGGUGUCUGGCAGCAUGGUAAAGUGGAGAUUAUAGCCAACGACCAGGGAAACAGAACAACCCCUAGCUAUGUGGCCUUUACAGACUGCGAGAGGCUCAUCGGCGAUGCAGCCAAAAGCCAGGUGGCGAUGAACCCGAAGAACACAGUGUUUGACGCCAAGCGGCUCAUUGGUCGACGCUUCGACGACACCAAGAUUCAGGAGGACAUGAAGCACUGGCCUUUUGCUGUAGUCAAUGAUGGCGGAAAACCAAAAAUACAGGUUGAGUACAAGGGAGAGCUGAAGAAGUUUGCUCCCGAGGAGGUCAGUUCUAUGGUUCUCACGAAGAUGAGGGAGAUUGCUGAGACAUACUUGGGAGGAAAAGUGACUGACGCUGUGAUAACAGUGCCAGCCUACUUCAACGACUCCCAACGUCAAGCUACGAAAGAUGCCGGAGCUAUUGCUGGUCUAAAUGUACUCAGAAUCAUCAACGAGCCGACCGCUGCUGCUUUAGCAUACGGCCUUGACAAAAAUUUGAAGGGCGAGAAGAACGUCCUUAUCUUUGAUCUUGGGGGUGGAACAUUUGAUGUCUCUAUCUUGACAAUUGACGAGGGGUCCUUGUUUGAGGUCAAGUCUACAGCUGGGGAUACACAUCUAGGUGGAGAGGACUUUGACAACCGAUUGGUGACCCACUUUGCUGAUGAGUUUCAACGCAAGUUCAAGAAGGAUCUGAAGAACAACUCACGAGCGCUACGUCGCUUGAGAACUGCCUGUGAACGAGCUAAGAGAACAUUGUCUUCUAGCACGGAAGCAAGCCUUGAGAUAGAUGCUCUUCAUGAUGGUGUGGACUUUUACAGCAAGAUCACCAGAGCCAGGUUUGAAGAGUUAUGCAUGGAUCUGUUCCGGUCAACGUUGGCGCCCGUGGAGAGAGCCCUGGGGGACGCCAAGCUGGACAAAGGCCAGAUACAUGACGUUGUGCUGGUGGGCGGCUCUAUCAGAAUACCAAAAAUACAGAAGAUGCUGCAGGAUUUCUUCUGCGGCAAGCCCCUGAACCUCUCCAUCAACCCCGAUGAAGCAGUAGCGUACGGAGCCGCCGUGCAGGCGGCCAUCUUGUCUGGGGACACCAGCUCACAGAUACAAGAUGUUCUGUUGGUGGACGUUGCUCCGUUGUCUCUAGGUAUUGAGACAGCUGGGGGCGUCAUGACCAAGAUUGUGGAGCGCAACUCUCGUAUUCCAUGUAAACAGACGCAGACCUUCACCACAUACUCGGAUAACCAACCAGCCGUCACUAUACAGGUAUUUGAAGGAGAGCGUGCAAUGACGAAAGACAACAAUCUCUUGGGAACCUUCAACUUAGCUGGCAUCCCACCAGCACCCCGUGGAAUCCCCAAGAUAGAAGUGACCUUUGACCUAGACGCCAACGGCAUCCUCAACGUCUCGGCCAAGGAAAGCAGCACAGGCAAGUCAGAGAAGAUCACCAUCCAGAACGAUAAGGGCCGACUGAGCAAAGAAGAGAUUGAAAAGAUGUUGGCCGAAGCAGAAAAGUACAAGGCAGAAGACGAAAAGCAAAAGGAACGGAUCACAGCAAGAAAUCAGCUAGAGAGUUACACGUUCAGUGUGAAACAAGCGGGCGAAGAAGCAGGAGACAAACUGACGGCUGAGGAGAAGAAGAAGAUUGUGGACAAGUGUGCGGAGGUGACAUCAUGGCUAGACUCCAACAGUUUGGCGGAAACUGAUGAGUUCAAGGAUAAGUUGAAGCAGCUACAAGCCGAGUGUUCGCCGCUGAUGACCAAGUUACACCAGAGCGGAGGAAAAGGACCAACCGUCGAGGAAGUUGAUUGAAGCACUCAGAGUUCUACCUUAAGCAUUUAUCAUUUUAUACAUUUAUAUUCUAAUCAUCUCAUACAAUAUCAGCUUUAUUUAUUCCAUACGGAUUGUGUUAGAGCAAAGAAGAAGAUGCUCCAAGUCAGCUUCUGGCAAGAAAGGCACUUUAACAUUUGGCGCCGCUCUAUUGGAUUAUUGAGUCUACGAAAGCUUAAGAAGCUUUCAAACGUUGAUGUUACUUGAAGCACAUGGGCUUCUUUUGUGUAAGAGAUGCGAAGGAAAAUUUAAUUUUGAUGUAUGUUUAGUAUUUUCAUGUUAAGAUAAUAUUUUACACACGUUAAGGGGUAUUUAUUAGUCGAAUCUAGGAAUAUUAGAAUUUUAUUGACAUUAUUUUAUGCACCAGCCUAUUACUUACUAAAAUACGAUC
Macrosteles quadrilineatus (aster leafhopper) is the source of this 2342-nucleotide RNA transcript. It is a transcript of the gene named heat shock protein 68-like, with no coding region annotated. The transcript is spliced from 9 exons. The record is from RefSeq and is a predicted model, not a curated record. Lineage: Eukaryota; Metazoa; Arthropoda; Insecta; Hemiptera; Cicadellidae.